AGUUCUAUUGAAAAUAUUGCAUGUGUUUGCACAAAUAUCAUCAUGAAGCUAGGACGAAGCAUUAUCCUAUUUGUGGUGGCUUUGUUUGUUCUCUUCAGCCUCACCUACGGAUCUGAUGUAGUGCACCCCGACAUGAAUUUUUGUCCCAGAGUUCUAAAGGGAUUGUGUGGUCCCUGUCUCGACAGUUGUUCUUUUAAAACCUGCGAAGAAGAAUUCAAUUCAAGAUAUAAAGGAGCUCAACCUCGGAGUUGUAGAUGUGACACUACUGGCAAUACACACAUGUGUUCAUGUUGGAUACGUUGUGGAUGAUUAAUUAUGUUCCUGAUUGUAAUAAUUAUGGGAAUUUAAUAAUAACCUCACAUCCUAUUUUAUGAGCUGUUA
Molecule: long non-coding RNA, 381 nt
Organism: Medicago truncatula (barrel medic)
Lineage: Eukaryota; Viridiplantae; Streptophyta; Magnoliopsida; Fabales; Fabaceae
Exons: 2
Source: RefSeq, a predicted model, not a curated record